ACGCCUACGGGGCGCAGCAGUGAGGAAUAUUGGUCAAUGGACGAGAGUCUGAACCAGCCAAGUAGCGUGAAGGAUGACUGCCCUAUGGGUUGUAAACCUCUUUAGGCGGGAGCAAUGCCGGGCACGCGUGUCCGGAGGGAGAGUACCCGCAGAAUAAGCAUCGGCUAACUCCGUGCCAGCAGCCGCGGUAAUACGGAGGAUGCGAGCGUUAUCCGGAUUUAUUGGGUUUAAAGGGUGCGUAGGCGGAUUUUUAAGUCAGCGGUAAAAUGUCCGGGCUCAACCCGGGCCGGCCGUUGAAACUGGGG
Molecule: ribosomal RNA, 305 nt
Filed under: uncultured bacterium
Lineage: Bacteria
Description: bacterial SSU rRNA
Rfam family: Bacterial small subunit ribosomal RNA
Source: RNAcentral